This is a long non-coding RNA of Scylla paramamosain (green mud crab), 2214 nucleotides long. RefSeq lists it as uncharacterized. The record is from RefSeq and is a predicted model, not a curated record. NCBI's taxonomy places the organism in Eukaryota, Metazoa, Arthropoda, Malacostraca, Decapoda, Portunidae. The transcript is spliced from 4 exons.
AAGAAGAACCGGUAUCUUUAUAAAUAUAAGUUAUUUUCAUGAGAGAGAGAGAGAGAGAGAGAGAGAGAGAGAGAGAGAGAGAGAGAGAGAGAGAGAGAGAGAGAGAGAGAGAGAGAGAGAGAGAAUUAGAGAAAGAGUUAAUAUGAGCACAUGGGAGUGUCUCGAAGCUUAAAGUGUGAAAACUAAAGAUUACCUAAAAUGGUAAAAACCCUUUGGAGAUGUUUCCUGUAUUAUCACACAUCUGGUAAUCUCUCUCUCUCUCUCUCUCUCUCUCUCUCUCUCUCUCUCUCUCUCUCUCUCUCUCUCUCUCUCUCUCUCUCUCAGUAAGAUUGCCUUGCUUUUACAAAUAAAUUUAUUACCUCCCAGAGACGACACACAUCGUAACAAAUCCAUAAUGCCAAAGAUUGAUAGUUACACAGUUUCUGCCUCGUUUGUGUGUGUGUGUGUGUGUGUGUGUGUGUGUGUGUGUUAAUUUAUUGAUCUAUUUAUGCACAAAUUUUCACAGAAGAAUUUGUGAUGUGUGGCGAGGCGGAUCCUCCAUGGGAGAUGGGGUGCCUAAAGCAGAGAGCUGUUGGCCAUCAAGUGCAGUGAUGAAAGGAAGCCUGAGCAUGUGAGUGUAGCCAUCCUGUUGAGUGUCACGUCAGCAUGGAAUGGGACCGAGGGUAAUACAGAUCGAAGCUUGUGAAGACACGAGUGAACGAACACCCACAUGGGUGUCAUCUCGCUACGGGCACACCAUCGGAUACAUUUCUUACAUUAUCAUCGUAAAUAAAGAUCAAAGAGGCGCCAAGAGGUUGAAGGUUCUCAAGACGCCUCGCCUGGAGGCGCGCCACGUGGAGACGAAGAUCCCUUUAGUGUGCUGGAGGGAGUGACAGAGGAAGAGCUUGUCGGCCAGACACCAAGAGACCCUCGGGAAGUCUGGGAAGGGCCUGCUGCCUCACCCACGCCUACGCCACAUGCUGCCGCACGACGAGCCUCGCCAGGUCCAUACCAUAGGACACCACAAACAGAUGACACCCCUGAAGGCUCUGCGCACAGAGCGAUACCGCCUCAGCGCGAUUCCCACCGUGGUGCGACCAACUAACAGUUAGUUCCUCUCUAUACAUUAACCUUACGUUUAGGUUUAAGCCUCCCCCAAUCCCCACUGUAUAUUUUCAGAGUAACAACUUCAAUAUAAAUUAACCGUUUAUUAUUAUACCUUUUUUUUAUCACCCACCGCACACUACCUACAGGCCCACCCGCCCAUCCAUCCACCAGUCUCCUACCAACUAACCCACCCGGAUCCCACCAACACUCACCCACCCGUCAACACAGUUCUACCCAAUUUAAAGAUUGGAUGUGGCUGAUGAUCAAGUAAAGAUGUCACAGAGUGGUCAUUAAUUAGGGAAAGGUGUACCAAGUGGCAGUCAAGGGCCUAAACACCAGUUAUACAGCUUUGUGACCCGUCUCUCAUCGGCCCCCCACACACAUACACACACACACAUACUUCCACAGAGGGCAGUGAAGUGAGUGGGAGUGCAUUGUUAUCACCACCACACCACACUAUCAUAAUACCACACCAUCUUAUCCUUGGCUCCCCGUGUCGCCCUGCCAAGCCCUGCCCCGCCCCGCCGCAGCUAAGGUAAGAAAUUCCCGUCUCUCUACGUCAACAUUAAGCACAAUUUCCAGGUUUUACAGAUGUUUCCAGGUGAUAUUUAGACUCUCUCUUGUCUCCCUUUUUCCUGCCACUAUCUCCAACAUCACCGUGACCACUGCCUUUCGCUUUACUGACAGCGUCAUAUACUAGUAAAGAAAGAAAGUGGCAGACAAGGCACGAUUGUUUACGUGGAGGAACCAGGAGAGUUGUCAGGAACAGCCCAUCACACGGCUACUCAGGAGGAUCCUGUAUCUUGUACGUCACUAGACUAUAAGAUUAUAAGGUUAUGGGAUGUUCCGAGAAGUAGUAAUAUAACGACUUGUGGGUGAGACGCUUCAAGCUUCCUUGACGAUACGGCUCCGCGGCUUCACGAGACGAGGCAGGAGCUAACGAGGGCAUCGGUUCUCCCAGACACUCGUGUCUGCCUUGUACUCCUAUGGAGGUAAAGACGGAACAUCCUCAGUUCUUUCAAUGGCACAGAAUACAGAUGCUUGGGUCCUCGGCGAAGCAACCCACGGAGACGGAAAAUCAGCCUUCACACCUCCAAGUUUACUGAACUCAGCUUGCUGUAGAAUAUU